This 68-nucleotide microRNA precursor is filed under the name Drosophila virilis. RNAcentral's name for it is "microRNA dvi-mir-287 precursor". Its record names the gene dvi-mir-287. It matches the Rfam family "mir-287 microRNA precursor family". The record is from miRBase by way of RNAcentral. Lineage: Eukaryota; Metazoa; Arthropoda; Insecta; Diptera; Drosophilidae.
GUGCAUAAUGUUUGAAAUUUUGCACACAUUUACAAUAAUUGUAAAUGUGUUGAAAAUCGUUUGCACAA